Long non-coding RNA from Tachysurus fulvidraco (yellow catfish), 3963 nucleotides. RefSeq lists it as uncharacterized. The transcript has 7 exons. NCBI's taxonomy places the organism in Eukaryota, Metazoa, Chordata, Actinopteri, Siluriformes, Bagridae. The record is from RefSeq and is a predicted model, not a curated record.
CCGUGCUCCCCCUAUAUGAAUUGUGUAUACAAUAUAUUUAAUUAAGUACGAAAAUAACCUCAGUGAGGAGAAGCUGUGUGAGCCUUGUCGAUGAGAGAGGUCAGAGAUGCAUGUCCAAACAGGUUUAAUCUGACAGGAAGUCUAUGGUAACUCAUGGUCAUAUAGAUCCUGUGCCCACUGCAGCCUCAGCGUCCUGUUCUCGACUGACAGGAGAGGAACCCCGUACGGUCUCCUGCCCUUAUAGCUCUUAUAGUGUCGAGGCGCUUUUCUGAUCACCACAGUUGUACUGUAAUGCACAGAUAUUUGAGUCUUAGUUGUCAUAGUCUUCCUGUCAGCUCAAACCAGUCCAGUCUCCUCAUGUCCGGUCUCCUCUGACCUCUCUGAUGCACAACACGACACUCACUGGAUUGUUUUUUUGUUUUUGUUUGUUGUUCGCACUAUUCUAUGUGAACGCAUGAGUCUGGUUGUGUGAAGAAAAAAAAAUCCCAGGAGCUCAGCAGCUCCUGAAAUACUCACACCAGCCCAUCUGGCACCAGCAACUAUGCCACAUGGUUGAAGUUGCUGAGAUCACAUUUUUUCCCCUAAUUUUGAUGUUAGAUUUAAACUGCAGUGGCCUUGGGUCUUAAAUAAUACAGCACAUCUUAUUAUUUACAGGAAGAAGCACAGAAACUGUAGCAUGUGGUGACUAUAACAGCUCCUUUUUCAGCAUGGAUCCUGCGCUACAGUAAAACAAAGAAAAUUCCAACUCCAGUCGGAUCCCAGAAAUCCCAGAAAUAGCACCUGGGCCAUCUGUCUGUCGUCAUCUGUCCAGCUGGAGAGAGACUUUGCCUACUGUAGCCUCAGAUUCCUGCUCUUCACAGGACAGAGGACAGGACUGGACAUCCGAGUUGGAUAACAGCCAGGGCAAGCAGGAAACAUAUUCCAUAUUCCCAUAAUACAGCUGUAGAAGUGUGACUGGUAGCCUCAUCAUGGUCUCAGUGGGGAAGAUGGAUGGACUUCCUCUUUAUGUGCUGAAAGUGCACUUGCUGCGGGAGUGCACAUCACCUGUUCUUGGGCAAUGCGGACGUGGGCCUUGCGGCUCUUGGUGGUACCAGCUGAGCUCCAGGCCACACACUGGCACCAGAAAUCCUCGAGUCCAAAGAGCUCCUCCACCUGCUGCCUUGUGAUCUCAAUACUCGCCUCCCUCACCACCAGACCUGAGAGAAACACAGACCAGAAGAUGAGCUUCAAAAGCGUCAACACGUCACAAGCAACGGUGAUCAAGUUACAGAUGACUUGGAGACUGAAGAAAGGUGGUCGCUCUUUAUCUGUUGCUAAGGAUACGACGAUGGAUGAGACGCAGACGGUGCAUGAGACGCAGACCGAAGAUGGAUGAGACGCAGACAGACGAUGCAUGAGACGCAGACGGUGCAUGAGAUGCUGACAGACGUUGGAUGAGGCGCAGACGAGACGCAGACGUUGGAGUCACGCAACCACCUUUGUCGCAGGAUUUGUUUAUGAUAUACAGCAUUUUUGCGGUGAUGUGAUCGUGCCCCUCACUUCCACCCUCACCACACGCAGUAUAAGCAUAUAACAUGAUGUGGUUUAUAUAAUAAAAUGAAUCUCACAAGGCAGACUUUUACAUUUAAACAUGCUUGUGGUUUGAGCUCGAUCAGCGUCACGUGCCAAUCAGCGUCACGUGACCUCAAACACUGCAGCUUCGAAUAAUAAACUCCUAAUUAACGCUAGACGUCGUUCUAUAUAACGCUUUUUUUUCUUUUAAGAAAACAUUCAGAUGUAUUAUAUAUUAAUUGACUAAUUUUCCCUCCCAAAACUAACUAAAAUUCUAGGACAAAACAAACAUUUGCUCAGUUAGCAUCAGAGGUGAAAAUUUUGGCUGGGAAAAAAAUCCAUUCACUCUCACUCAUUUUCUACCGCUUAUCCGAACUACCUCGGGUCAACGGGAGCCUGUGCCUAUAUCAGGCGUCAUCGGGCAUCAAGGCAGGAUACACCCUGGACAGAGUGACAACCCAUCGCAGGUGGGAAAAAAUUGAUAAGUGUAAAAUAAUUUUUUUUCUUCCCAUUUGCUAAGUUAGGUAGCCGUUCUUUGACGAUAGCUUGUGUAUUAUUAGCAUAUCAAACAGUCAUUAAUUAGUUAAAGCUAGCUAGCUAAAUCUUACUGAAACUUGUGUAUAUAUUCUAGAGUUAGGUGAAUAUUCAUUACCUAAGAAUACAAGUUAGCUACUUAAUUUUCUUUGCAAAGUUUACCAGAGGUUAUCUCAUUCUAGCCUCUCUUAGAUUUUCUGUGUUGAGAUCUAAUUCAAGAAAUUAAUGUGAAGGCUAUAUUGGAAAAGCUGUCUAGUUUCUUUUAUAAAUUAUCUGGUGUUUCUAAAACUUUUUUAGCCAAGUUAGCUAGCUAGUUUUCUUUUUAACCUUGUAAAAGCUAAAACCUAAAAAGGCUGCCUUAAGAAAGAAACAUUAAAUAGACCUACAACGUAUAAAAUCGAACACUUUGCAAGUCUGUUUAAUCAUUUUUAUGAUUUGCAAGCUAAAUCAUUUUAGAUUUUAAUGACUAAUUUGAAAGCGAUGUUUUUUCCUGGAAACUGCGUUUCGGAUUAUGGAUUAUUCAGCAGGACACUAUGGAUUAUUUUUCUUUUGGGGUUUUUCAAGUCUGAUUUUUAUUUUCAUUCAGUUCUUUCCAGAGAAAGUUGGAGUGAUGUAGAGCUAGUCAGAGAUAAGGAGAGAUGCAUGUUUCCAAUGCUUUCACUACAACAGCGUUGGCGGUUCUGUUGCUGUGCUGUCAUUGUUCUGUCAGGGAGUUCUGUCACACCCAUGUAGCUAGCUAUAAGGAAGGGUGGUAUCAGAUACGAAUCGUACAACCUCCAUCGAGUAAGGAUGCAUGGCAGAAAGAAGCUUGUAGACCCUAUGCACCCCAUCUGUAUGCCAUCAUGUGUGUGAGUGUUUCUUCAUGGUAGGGUGCAACUCUUUGAUGGUGCGCUCUGGGAUGUAAUUCGAGAACGGGGCCUGUUAUCACGAAAGCCAUCUUGGAACAGUCAGACUGGAACUCAACCACACCUCACCCUCUUAACACUGGGCAAACAAGUUAAGAAAAAAAAGGGGGCAGAAAAGCACCCGAGAUGUGUGGGGUGGAGGUAAUGUGGCCACUGAGCCAUGACGCAGUGCAAGGUUUUUACCUUCUAGCAAUGUAUUUGUUAAUCUUGAUCAUGCCCCACACACCCUGCUUGAAAAACAGAACAAUGCACAUAAAGCAACUAAUAGUUUCAGGUAAAUUUUUGGCAGUGUUGUUUGUCAAGUUGUGCUUGCUGAACCAAGCUAGCUUACUUUUCCACCCCUGCAAUAUCCAAUUCUGCAAUUUUCCUUUAAUCAGUAAACGUAGCAGCUUGCUAACAUGUCGGCAUUAAAAUCUAAUUUCAUAACUUUUAUGAGAAAUUAUCACGGUGUGCACGAAUAUUCUCCAUAUUUUAUAUCAUCACGUCUAAGAAGUGGUGCUUUCUGCAGCUAAAUAUAGUCAUUAAUAAUGAUCCGGCCUCGUAUGUGGGUGCUCGCUGUUUACACACUUCUGCAUAAGCAGAUUAUAUUAAUACAUUCAUCUUAUAAAAAAAAGAAGUAAAAGCCAACUACAGAGUUGCUUUGACACUUUGAACAGAUUGUUUUUACACCACCUUUGCCACAGUGUUUUUGACUUUCUGUCUUCAUAUACUGUAUGUUGGUAAGGGGAAAAUAUUUUUGUUCGACCUUUUUUUUUUUUUUUAUUCCCCCCCCAACGAAUGAGAACAUAUGAACCAUAACUGCAAACCUGCUCUGCUAGGAAAAGCAUUACAUACACAGCUUCUGUUAAAGAAAGAGCAUGUUUAUGAAUGAUUUAUGAUUAAGGCGCGUGUGACAGCCAUUUAGUGUUUUUCAGUAGUUCGGUAUAUUAAGAAUUAAUUGGUGUCUAAAGAUAAAUAACAUGUAAACAAUAUG